Molecule: ribosomal RNA, 1440 nt
Filed under: uncultured Bordetella sp.
Lineage: Bacteria; Pseudomonadati; Pseudomonadota; Betaproteobacteria; Burkholderiales; Alcaligenaceae
Description: partial 16S-23S ribosomal RNA intergenic spacer
Rfam family: Bacterial small subunit ribosomal RNA
Source: RNAcentral
GUAACAGAGGGUUUGAUCGGCGGCUCGCCGUAUUGAACGCUGGCGGGAUGCUUUACACAUGCAAGUCGAACGCAGCACGGACUUCGGCCUUGGUGGCGAGUGGCGAACGGGUGAGUAAUGUAUCGGAACGUGCCUAGUAUAGCGGGGGAGAUAAUCUACGCGAAAGGGUAGCUAAUAAUGGGCGGCAUUAUCUCCUUCGGGGCGGUAGACUCCGGGCUUUGCAUGCUGGAUGCCGAGACAUCGGGAUUGAAGCCGCUUGUGGGGCAUGGCUCACCAAGGCGACGAUCCGGGAAUGGUUGAAGAUCGAGACCAGCCACACUGACUGAGACGGCCCAGACUCCUACGGAGGCAGCAGUGGGGAAUUUUGACAAUGGGGGAAACCCUGAUCCAGCCAUCCCGCGUGCGAAGGCCUUCGCUGUGAAGCACUUUUGGCAGGAGCGAAAUCCGCGGUACCUGGACAUGACCGCAAGACUGCUGACUUUGUAAGGCAAACAGCAAUACGACUGCCACGCCAGCAGCCGCGGUAAUACGCAGGGUGCAAGCGUUAACGGGAAUCAAUGAGCGCAGGAAGCGCAGGUUCGGGAAAGAAAGAUGAAAUCCGAGCUUAACUUUGAACUGCAUUUUAACCGUCAGGAGCUGAGUGUGUCAGAGGGAGGUGGAAUUCCGCGUGUAGCAGUGAAAUGCGAGAUAUGUAGGAGUGAACACCGAUACAUAUGGUAUGUUUCCAGAUGUUUUAACACUGACGCUCAUGCUGAGAAAGCGUGGGGAGCAAACAGGAUUAGAUACCCUGGUAGUCCACGCCCUAAACGAUGCCAACUAGCUGUUAGCCUGCCUGGCAGCGCAGCUAACGCGAAGUUGACCGCCUGGGGAGUACGGUCGCAAGAUUAAAAUCAAAGAAUGAUGAUGCGGAUUUUGCAAGGUGGAUGAUGUGGAUUAAUUCGAUGCAACGCGAAAACCUACCUACCCUCGACAUGUCUGAAUCCCGAAGAGAUUUGGGAGGCCGCAGAGAACCGGAACACAGGUGCUGCGGCGACGCUGUCGUCAGCUCGUGUCGUGAGAUGUUGGGUUAAGUCCCGCAACGAGCGCAACCCUUGUCAUUAGCGGUUACGAAAGGGCACUCUAAUGACUGCCAGACAAACCGAGAGUUGCGCGACACGCCCAACCAUGCUUGCGGUAGGGCUUCACACGUCAUACAAUGGUCGGGACAGAGGGUCGCCAACCCGCGAGGGGAGCCAAUCCCAGAAACCCGAUCGUAGUCCGGGAUCGCAGUCUGCAACUCGACUGCGAAGCCGGAAUCGCUAGUAAUCGCGGAUCAGAAGUCGAUAUUUCUGGUCUUGUACACACCGCCACACCGUAUAGCCUUGAAUGUAGUGGUAGUUAGCCUAACCGUAGAGGAUUACCACGGUAGGGACGAAGACUGGGUGAAGUCGUAACAAGGUA